UCGAGCGAAGCAUUUCAGUAGUUUACUACAGAAAAUGACUGAGCGGCGAACGGGUGAGUAACGCGUGAGCAAUCUACCUUAGUUACAGGGAUAGCCCGAGGAAACUCGGAUUAAUACCUGAUAUUCUUUAUAUUUCGCAUGAAAUUAAAAGGAAAGGUCAGCCGAACUAAGAUGAGCUCGCGUUCUAUCAGCUAGUUGGUGAGGUAAAAGCUCACCAAGGCUACGACGGAUAGCUGGUCUGAGAGGACGAUCAGCCACACUGGGACUGAGACACGGCCCAGACUCCUACGGGAGGCUGCAGCAGGGAAUAUUGUGCAAUGAACGAAAGUUUGACACAGCGACACCGCGUGUGGGAUGACGGAUCUAGGUUUGUAAACCACUUUCAGGAGGGAAGAAAAUGACGGUACCUCCACAAGAAGCCCCGGCCAACUACGUGCCAGCAGCCGCGGUAAUACGUAGGGGGCGAGCGUUGUCCGGAUUUAUUGGGCGUAAAGAGCUCGUAGGCGGUUCAACAAGUCGUUCGUGAAAGUUCAGGGCUCAACCCUGAAAUGUCGAUCGAUACUGUCGUGACUAGGAUACGGUAGAGGUGAGUGGAAUUCCGAGUGUAGCGGUGAAAUGCGUAGAUAUUUGGAGGAACACCAAUUGCGAAGGCAGCUCACUGGGCCGCUAUCGACGCUGAGGAGCGAAAGCUAGGGGAGCAAACAGGAUUAGAUACCCUGGUAGUCCUAGCUGUAAACGAUGGAUACUAGACGUAGGAACUGGAUUGACGGUUUCUGUGUCGCAGCUAACGCGUUAAGUAUCCCGCCUGGGGAGUACGGUCGCAAGACUAAAACUCAAAGGAAUUGACGGGACCCCGCACAAGCGGCGGAGCAUGCGGCUUAAUUCGAUGAUACCCGUAGAACCUUACCUGGACUUGACAUAUAGGGUCUAGCUAUAGAGAUAUAGUGUGCAUUAGCGCCCUAUACAGGUGGCGCAUGGCCUGUCGUCAGCUC
Molecule: ribosomal RNA, 992 nt
Filed under: uncultured marine bacterium
Lineage: Bacteria
Description: bacterial SSU rRNA
Rfam family: Bacterial small subunit ribosomal RNA
Source: RNAcentral